GGUAAAAAANAGACUUAAACUUCCCUCAGCAGAUUUACAGCCUGCCGCCUGUUCCCUCGGCCACUUUACC
Molecule: transfer RNA, 70 nt
Filed under: Stenocercus angulifer
Lineage: Eukaryota; Metazoa; Chordata; Lepidosauria; Squamata; Tropiduridae
Description: tRNA-Tyr
Source: RNAcentral